UGAGUAGGCGGUAAUAUGUGUCAGAUGUAAAAGGCUAUGGCUUAACCAUAGUUGGCAUUUGAAACUGUAUUACUUGAGUGCAGGAGAGGUAAGUGGAAUUCCUAGUGUAGCGGUGAAGUGCGUAGAUAUUAGGAGGAACACCAGUGGCGAAGGCGACUUACUGGACUGUAACUGACGCUGAGUCACGAAAGCGUGGGUAGCAAACAG
Molecule: ribosomal RNA, 207 nt
Filed under: uncultured Sedimentibacter sp.
Lineage: Bacteria; Bacillati; Bacillota; Tissierellia
Description: partial 16S ribosomal RNA
Rfam family: Bacterial small subunit ribosomal RNA
Source: RNAcentral